RNAcentral lists this ribosomal RNA (345 nucleotides) under uncultured bacterium. RNAcentral describes it as "bacterial SSU rRNA". It matches the Rfam family "Bacterial small subunit ribosomal RNA", at positions 373 to 710 of the family's 1533-position model. The record is from RNAcentral.
GGGCGCAAGCCUGACGCAGCGACGCCGCGUGAGUGAAGAAGGUUUUCGGAUCGUAAAGCUCUGUUGUAAGUCAAGAACGAGUGUGAGAGUGGAAAGUUCACACUGUGACGGUAGCUUACCAGAAAGGGACGGCUAACUACGUGCCAGCAGCCGCGGUAAUACGUAGGUCCCGAGCGUUGUCCGGAUUUAUUGGGCGUAAAGCGAGCGCAGGCGGUUUGAUAAGUCUGAAGUUAAAGGCUGUGGCUCAACCAUAGUUCGCUUUGGAAACUGUCAAACUUGAGUGCAGAAGGGGAGAGUGGAAUUCCAUGUGUAGCGGUGAAAUGCGUAGAUAUAUGGAGGAACACC